Centruroides sculpturatus (bark scorpion) is the source of this 7160-nucleotide long non-coding RNA. RefSeq lists it as uncharacterized. NCBI's taxonomy places the organism in Eukaryota, Metazoa, Arthropoda, Arachnida, Scorpiones, Buthidae. The record is from RefSeq and is a predicted model, not a curated record. The transcript is spliced from 7 exons.
AAUAAAAAUUUAAAAAAAUGCUUUUGUGAUUUUAAACUGUUCUAAAAAAAUAAAAUUAAUACAAUUUCUGGUUUUAAUUUUACUAGUUACAAAACAGAUUGGAUCUAAUUAUAUAAUUUCAAAUUUAUAAAUGGAGUAUUAAAUAAAGCAGUGAAAUAUGUAAAGUAUUUUAUCAACCUACACAGCAUUUAUAAAUAAAACUAUACUGAAGAAAUAAUAAUGCAGUUUAAAUUGAAAGAAAUGAUGAAAUAUUAAAGAAAAUUAACUAUUAUGUUUUAGCUGUAAUAAUAAUAAUCUACCUAAUGAAAAACUUUAUUUUCUUUAUAAAUAAGAAAUUAUCUCUUGUGAUUUUUCAAAAGUUAAACCAUAAUUUUAUAAUUUACAGAUUGAAAGAAAUCACUACCAGUUUGAUUGUAAAUAAUUUUAAAAUGUGUUCUGAUCAAUUUAAGAUUUAUAAUAUCAAGACAUAAGAUGACAUGCUAAUACAAUUUUUACAAAGGAAAGCCAUUUUGACAAGCAGGAACAACAGAUAAAUUUGCAGUAGUUCAGAAUGAGGGAGUGCAGUUUAUUCUUUUUAUUGUAGUAUUAAUAAUUAAUCAGAUUCAUCAUACAAAUUAAAUCUAGAUGAUCCAACACUAACUGUUUUUUACUCCACAUUUUCAGAAGCAAGGUUGGUUUUGUUGCUACAAUGCUUGCAUAUAUGUAACAUUCACCAGGUUUGAAGUAACUAUACCAAGCAAUAACUGUCCUUGUCAGGAUUUGUAGCCAUUUGCAUAUUUUUGCAGUUUCUUACAAACACUAGAAGUUUUCAGCACUGAAGAUGCGAUUCGAUAGCUUAGAAACUAUAUCUGGAUGAAAACUUUCUUGCAGUAUUUCAGUAAGUAACAACUUCAUUUGCUGUACUGUCAAUAAGAGAUCCUUCCACUGACAAACGAUUGUUUUAUCAUCUCAAGCAUAGUGUUGCUAAUCUAAUUUCUUUAUUAGUACAUAUGCAUGUUACUUGUUUUAAGUCUUAACCUGUUGAGGAGUUGGUUUUUCUUUUUAAUAUUUCAGUCGGUGAAAAUAUAUGUAUUAGUUAUUUCUUUUUACUGCAAUUUUUGUUUGAUCUGAUUCUGCCAUUCAAAGGGAAAGAUUUCGAUGGAAAUGCCAAUUGUCACAAUGUUUUGGAAGAUGACAAGGAUUUAAUAGGAAAAAGUUAUCUAUUUACUUUAUUUUUAAAUAAAAUAGAUCAACUCUGCAAAUCUUUCAUUCUUUUAACAGAGAGAUUCAAUGGAAAUUUUUUUGGGCUGGAGAACAACUCUGGAAAGUAAGCCAAUAAUAACAUUUCUUUAGAAAGCUAGUUUUUUGGAAUUUUCAUGUAGAGAAUAACUUGUGAAAUUGUACAGAUUGAUGCGUGAGUUUCAAUACUGAUGUAAUCAUUUAAAUAUCUGUGAAAAUACUAUUUGAAUUUUACUACUGUUUAUUAAGUUGUGAUUUCGGCAGUAAAUAUUAUGUUGCUUUUUCUUUUCUAUUGAUUUUGUUACAGAGAAAAUGAGUUUGCAGGGUGGGAAGCAAUGAAGUGUAAGUACUAACCAAAUUUGUUUUGCUAGUUGAUGUUGAGUUCAUUAAUUUUUAUUAUUAGUUUAUUGCAAGAAACAUUUUAAAAAAGAUUAAAUUGAGGUGUAAUGAAUGUAAAUUGUUUUGCUUUUAUGCUUAAUGGUAACCAUUGCUUGGUUUCCUACCAGAUGGGACACUUAUUUGCAGAUUAUUCUUUGUCACUAAGAUUCUUCUACACCAGCUGUUUCAAUUGUUGUUCGUUGAAAGUGGACUAGAGAAGAAAAGACAAUGUAAGGCUUUUUAUUAAAGCGAAACAUUUGUAAGCUUGACGUUUAAAUAGUUUAAAAUAACUGAAUUUUUUUUAAAAACUUGUAAUGAAACUGCUUAAUUUUGUCAGUUUGGAAAAUUGUAUGUGCACAUGUAAUGCUGAUGUGUGGAGAUAAUUUCAUAUUUUGCAGCUUACCCAUUGAAUAAAUUUUUAUUUCAUUGUUAUCUGAUAUAUGCAGUAUCAUUUAGAUGGCAUUUGUAUUUUUAUUACAUGCAUGAUUGCUUAAAAGCAUGGAAGCACAUAUGGAAUUUAAAAUUUCCCUGCAAGUAAAGUAAUUUGACAAUUUCAUGUGAGCAAUGAUGUGCAACAAGUGUAAAUAUAGAGGAAUUGUUACUUGCAAUGAUUUAUUGAAUAAAUAUUUGACAAUGUUUUUGAUAUUCUAAAAAUAAAUAUAUUUUUUUAACAGAAGAGACUGACUUAUUUAAUUUGUGCAUUUUCAAAUUGAAAGAUAAUUAUGUGAUAUGAAUUUUCUUUAAUGUUUAUUUCUAAGAUGCUUGUUGGCACUUGCUGCUAUAAAAUGUAACUUUUAAAUUGUAAUUUUCAGUAUAUUCUAUGAAUGUAGGUUUGAUGAAGUGAUUUGUGCAGAAUGUAAGUUUUAUAUUUGGGUUUAUUGGAAAUGUAUUGGGCAAAUCAUGGUGAUCUGAAGGCGAGUGUGUGAAUAUUUGGCAGAUGGAGUUGCAGAUACGGCAUGUGUUAUUUAUGACAAAAUGAGGAUGUAAAGAGCAGGGAGUAUAAGAAACUCUGAAAAGAAUUUUUGCAUUAUGUACUUGUAUGUUUAUUAAGUCAUUUACUCUUUGCCUAGAUAUAUUCGACAGCAAAUUGGCAUAUGCAGUUGCUUCGAUAUCUUAAUUUGAAUUUUAAUUUACCAGAAUGCAUUAAUUUUCUGUAUCAGUGGCACAGAAGAACACACAGUGCAAAGUGAUUUCAGGGAGUAAAAAUUUAAUUAUUAUUGAUGAAUUAGAUUGAUUGUAUGAAUUUGCUUGAUAUUUUGCAAUGAAUUGCAGGUUAUGCAAGAAAUAUAAAAAAAAAGUAGAAAAAGUUGUUUUAGUUUGUUAGGUGGAUAAUAAUAAUGUUUAAAGUUUGAAGAUUACAGGGUCGGUAUGAAGCAUUUAUUUAUUUAGGGAGAAGAUUUUAUAUGGCAAAGAUUGUUGAGCAACAAAAGUAAACAGUUUUCUUUUCAUAGAUUUUCAUGAAUAACAUGCAUGUUAAAUAACUUCUUAUAAUCAUUUAUGUAUAAGUUUUGUAAAUUUAUUUCAAAAUUUCUGCUUGUUAAUUUUUUAUAUUUUUUUUAAAAUUCAAUAAUAAUAAAAUGUGUAAUUAUUUAUAUUCACAGCAUUUAAUUUUCUUGAUUAGUUAUCAUCUAAAUCUUUUGGGAUGGGUUAUCUAUAACUUAUUGCAAUUGUUUUGAUUUUUGGACUUUAACAGAAUAGACCUUUUUUCCCUACAGAAAUGACUAAUUUUGAUUUUAAAGUUUUUAGUCAAUAAAUUGAUACUCAUGUACAGGUAAGUUUAUUUUGCACUUGUGAAAAAGGAUGUAUUAUUAUUAUUUAUACAAUUUUGUUUUAUUAAUAUAAAUUUCAAGUUGUGCAUUUUAAGCUGCUGCUGAUAUUUCUUUUUAUAAUUGCUUAAAUUAAUUAAAAAAAAGGCAUAACUAUUUUUUAAAAUAUAUUUAUAAGUUCUUGUAUACACUAUAAUGCAGUCACUUUAAGGCUAAUAAUGAAUAAUUCUACAUUAAUUGAAUCUACUAGUGCAUAUUAUUGAUAUAAGCUGUACUUUAGUGAAUCUUUAAUAAGCAAGGUAUUACAGUAUCUUGGAGAUAUAACCAUCAUCCAGAUUCUGCUGAUAUCAAUUUUCUAUCUUAAAGUUAUUAUUCACUAGUGUCUUCUGUAUAAAAGAAUGCAAGAUAAUUUUAUAAGAUACAAGAGUAUCUUGUGCUAAUCAAAUAUCAACAAAUUUAUAUAAUACUUCAUGCAAAAUAUUAUUGAUUUUUAUAAAGCUGAAACAAAUCUCAAUAACAACUAUUUAAAAUUUUUAUAGUACAUGAACAAUCAUGCUAUGAAAGGAAGAACAAAAUUGUUCUAGUUAAUGAUCUAUUGCAGACAUCUUUGCCAAGCAAGAUUCGUCAUACUGCAUUUUAAAGACAACUUAAGAUGUUUUGAUGUCUAGGUUGAGCACAAGUUGAAUUGGCAACAUUUGAAUAAAGCAAGCAAAGAGAAAAUGCGAUGAGAAUAGCAAAAAGUGUACAGUUUAACAAGAAUCUUUCAUGUUUUUAGAAUAAAACAGUAAUUUUUUUUGUUUGGUGAUCUGAAUUAAUAUAUUAAUUACUUCAUAUUUUAGGACAAAAAGCAAUAACAGAAUUAUUUGGCACAAAGUAGCCAUUUGUGUAUUGUUGCAGCUUUACCUAUACUAGAGAUUUUAAUGUUGAAUUUAUUCCUUCAUGUCAAUGACAUUGUUUUGUUGCUGAAUAUUUUAAAAUUUACUAUAUAUCAGAUAAAUGAAAUAAUUACAAUAUUUAAAUAGGAAUAUUAAUUGCUUGUUACCAGAACUUAGGAAAAAAAAAACAAGUCAAUAUUGAAAACCACCAGCAAAAAAUAAAAUUUGGAAUUUGUUCUACAAUUUAAAUUGUGUGUUAAAUCUGCAUGUUUUGAGUUUUGAAAAUACUACUAUUUAAUCAAUGAAAUUAUUUGCAGAAUUGUGUGUAUCUGAAACAUGAUGUCUGAAGUCUUGUGCAUUUGCUUGUUUUAGUAUGAAAGUUUUUUUCUCAUUUUGAUGUAUGUAUGGAAAAACUUUUUAAUGAAUUCAUUAUUGCUUUAUAAAGCAUCUUACUACUAACAUUAUGAAACAGUUCAGUUAUAAUAAGUUUUUUUAGUCAUAUAGCAGAUUUAUCUGUACUGAAAUAGUGUCCACUGAUCAUUUUGUGAUAACUUUUAAUAUAUCUGUUGUAUUGUAUUGACAGAUUUUUCAAUUGCUUGUGAUAUUUCAGAGCAAGUAUCUAGAAGUUGAGUUCUAUUGGAUUUACUAUCUUAAACAUCAUAUACAAAGUAGUUAGGACCACGAAUAUAUUUUGCGUAGUCUAGACUGCAAGAAACUUUUGAUAAAAAUUUAAUUUCUAAUUUUUAACUCUAAAUUAACUUUUAAAUAUUCAAUAUCUUAUCCUGCUGGUGCUACAGAUUGUUCUCUAGUAUAACAAAUAUUCAAUCUAUAAAAAAAAAAGAUAUCAUUAUUUCAUUUUUAUUAUAAUUUUUGCAUUUUUUGCAACAAUUUAGAUCUAGAUUUCAGAAGAUUUUGGAAAUUGCAGCUCACCAAAGCAUUGAAAACUAGAUUGAUUAUAUUCAUUACAUCAGUUCAGUUUGAUUGGGUUUAAUUUAUUAUACAUUUAAAUGUUGUCUGAAUGUUUAUAGUUGACAAAAUUGAGAAACUAUACAGAUAGAGAAGAAAUCUUUUCAAUGGCUGAAGAAUUAUAAGGACAAACAAUAGGGAGUAUAACAGAACAUUAAACUUUUUAGUAUUAAAAUUUAUUCUACAUAUGCUCCAAAACUGUUUAAUCUUUUAGAUUGUCAAGUUUCGUCAACGAAGAUCAAAGUAAAAACAUUCAAAUAUGACCUAAAGCAUCUUUCAAUUUGCUAAGUUUUGCAUUAACCAAUAAUGAAGAGUAUAUUUCUAUAAAUGAAUUUCAGGGAGUAAAAGUUUAUGGAUUUAUUAUUUUUAAAUGUUUUCAGUUAGAAGAAAAACAAAAUUAAUAAUUCUUAACUGUAUUAAGUUAAUAACAAAUUAGAAAUAUAACUAAAUUUUGAGAGGUAUUGAAUAUCCAUUUUUAUAGCAAGGUAAUGUAUUUUCAUUAAAAUUUCCUAACUUUGUAGUUUAGAUUUGUUAAUUAGGUUUAUAAUUUGUUAUAGUCAAAUAUUACUUAAAAUGGAUCUACGGAGAGGGAGUUGCUUAAAAUAGAUUUAAAAUGUUUAAAAAAAGUAAUUAUCUUCAUCUAAGUGUUACUUAAAUGUUAACAAUUGUAGAAAGCUUAAUUUUAUUAUGUCAGUACUGUUAUAAAUCAUUAAUUUCUAAGAUUAUGUAAAUGGGGAUUAAGUUUUUUAACCCUCUCUGCCCAUUGGGCACUAAGAGGGAUUUUUUUUAACAACCCCAUUAAGUCUCUCAGGGUUUAGUCAGUCUCACAAUAGGGCAGCUGGAUAGUGAGGGAUGAUAACAUAUCUGUACGGCCAUCCUGAAAAAUUCCCGAGGUUUUUGACUCUUCCGAAUUUGAUCCUGGAUUCCCUAGAUUGGUAGGCUGUCACCUUAGCCACUUGGCCAUCUGGACUCAGAGACAAUCAUUUUAGCAAAGUCAGGGACUAUAAAUGUCACCUUCUCCCAGUAACGGAACAAGAAAAUUCAUAAAAAUUCACUAAAACAGUAGGCAUAACAAUUCUAUUGACAAAUAAUAGAGGCAUCUGGAAAAUGAUUUCAGAGUAAUGAAGCUUGGAUAAAUGAUGGAAAGUUUCUCCAAUGAAAUCUGGAGUUGUGCUUAUUGGAUCUCUUGCUGAUUUUACUAAAUUUAUAAAUACAAUAAAAAAAAAACAGUGAAAAUGGAAAUAGAAGAUGCAGUUGAAUGAUUGUCCUAGAAGACUUAAUAAAAAGAAAUUUUGAAAAAAAAGAUCUAUCAUGUAGUUUCACUACAGAUUAUAUAAGCGACCCGUUUUUAAUAUGGCCCAAAAAGGUAGAACUCCAUCAAUUCACAAUCCAGAAAUGUUAACGUAAAUAAAUACUGGAAUAUUCUGUAUUCAUCUACGAUGGAUUGAACUGGGAGUCAAAACUUUGAGUGCUGAAUAGUUGGAGAAUUUUUGCCACGAGAAUGCGGGACCAUAAAAGGAAAAUAUACAAAGAACACGCCAAGAAGUAAACUACACCGAAACUUACCGAAUCCCCAGCGGCGGUGCUCGGACUUUUUCCGCAAUACUUUUUUCUAACAAACUAUUUAAGCACAUUUGUCAAUUUUAAGAGAUUUAUCACAAAUACAUUAUUAAAUGUUUUGUAAUGUUUCAAUUAUUAAUGUAUAUUGUGAAAGAAAAGAAACAAAGAAUACUUCAUGCUGUUUUAAGUUUUGGAGUUUUUGCAAGAAAUUUUGUUUUAAAAUUAUUUUGCAUAUUUGAUUGUGAAAUUCAAAGUAUUCUAAUUGCAUCAAAUUUGAAAAUUGUAAUUAUUAAAAAUAAUAAUAGAAAUUGAAUUGUACAAUGUGAUGUAUAUUUGUCAAACAAAAAUUUUGUAAGUAACUUUUCUAUUCAUAUCUUAAUUAAAAUUUUUAAAAGUU